UUCAAUGUUUGAGGAGAUGUUUCUAAGGAUUUUUGGAGGGAAAAGCAAUAUUACACAAGAAAACCACAUUUUCUCUUGUUUGUUAUCAAAAUAUCUAGAGAAGCCAUAUCCACCUGCCUUUUUGUGGCUAACAGGGGUCUGAGCCCAUAAACUGACUGAGGAACAAAUCUUGUCCGUCGGGGGAGAAAACCAGUCAGCUGGGGGUUAAGUGGAUGGGAGGGUGGAGACGCCUCAGGAAAAACCUGCCAGAGCUGUAAAGGGUCAGAGCUUCAAACGGGAGUGAAAAAGCAGGGGGAAGUUAGAACUGAGCUCUCUUGCUUUCAAAUUCAAAAAUUUUCAGAUUUGCUUCAAACGUAUACUUAAGAACUCUAGGGGCCAGCCCUGUGGCCCGGUGGCCGAGUGGUUAAGUUCACACGCUCCGCUUAGAUGGCCCACGGUUUUGCCAGUUUGGAUCCUGGGCACGGACCUAGCACCGCUCGUCAGGCCAUGCUGAGGUGGCGUCCCACAUAGCACAACUAGAAGGACCUACAACGAAGAUAUACAACUACAUACUGGGGCGCUUUGGGGAGAAAAAGAAGAAGAAAAAAGAGAUUGGCAACAGAUGUUAGCUCAUGGCCAAUCUUAAAAAAAAACACCUCUAAUAAUGCCGUAAAAAUCUCCAUCCUUGAAUUGGAAGGAGAACACGUGCAUGGAAGCGCAUGAAAGCUCUGAAGAGACGCUACCAAACUGACAGGAGAGUUAUCUGCUGGGAAGCCGGAGCAGGCCAGGUGUUCAAGCAGGAGCAGCAUGGCGGCUGGGCUCCCAGAGCGAGUGUCCCAAGAGCUCCAGGUUGAAAUCCAUGACAUUUUCACGGUAUCAUCUACCCUCAGAGGUCACGUAGCAUCAAUUCAGCCACACUAUGUCGUUCAAGAGUGUCACAAAGUUUGUCCAGAUUCAAAUGGAGGAAACUACUGGCUUGAUAGAAGUGUCAAGGUUACACUGUUUUAAAAAAAGAAGCAGCCUGUGGAAUGAUAGAUACUGUUGUGGCUGUUUUUGGAAAUUAUAACCUGCAAAUGAGCCAUAUGUGAAGGAGCAUUUGACAAAACCCAGACAUCUGUGCUUCACAGGGAAAGGGAAACCCUAGACUCUCCUUUGUGAAAUGAGCUUAAUA
Molecule: long non-coding RNA, 1150 nt
Filed under: Equus asinus (donkey)
Lineage: Eukaryota; Metazoa; Chordata; Mammalia; Perissodactyla; Equidae
Description: lncRNA (ENSEASG00005030945.1)
Source: RNAcentral